This 483-nucleotide ribosomal RNA is filed under the name uncultured bacterium. RNAcentral describes it as "partial 16S ribosomal RNA". It matches the Rfam family "Bacterial small subunit ribosomal RNA", at positions 30 to 507 of the family's 1533-position model. The record is from RNAcentral.
AUUGAACGCUGGCGGCAGGCCUAACACAUGCAAGUCGAGCGGAUGAAGGGAGCUUGCUCCUGGAUUCAGCGGCGGACGGGUGAGUAAUGCCUAGGAAUCUGCCUGGUAGUGGGGGAUAACGUCCGGAAACGGGCGCUAAUACCGCAUACGUCCUGAGGGAGAAAGUGGGGGAUCUUCGGACCUCACGCUAUCAGAUGAGCCUAGGUCGGAUUAGCUAGUUGGUGGGUAAAGGCCUACCAAGGCGACGAUCCGUAACUGGUCUGAGAGGAUGAUCAGUCACACUGGAACUGAGACACGGUCCAGACUCCUACGGGAGGCAGCAGUGGGGAAUAUUGGACAAUGGGCGAAAGCCUGAUCCAGCCAUGCCGCGUGAGUGAAGAAGGUCUUCGGAUUGUAAAGCACUUUAAGUUGGGAGGAAGGGCAGUAAGUUAAUACCUUGCUGUUUUGACGUUACCAACAGAAUAAGCACCGGCUAACUUCGUG